Molecule: transfer RNA, 82 nt
Filed under: Bacteroidaceae bacterium
Lineage: Bacteria; Pseudomonadati; Bacteroidota; Bacteroidia; Bacteroidales; Bacteroidaceae
Description: tRNA-Leu
Rfam family: tRNA
About the family: Transfer RNA (tRNA) molecules are approximately 80 nucleotides in length. Their secondary structure includes four short double-helical elements and three loops (D, anti-codon, and T loops).
Source: RNAcentral
GCGCCUGUGGCGAAAUUGGUAUACGCGCCAGACUUAGGAUCUGGUGAAGCGAUUCGUGCAGGUUCGAGUCCUGUCAGGCGCA